Helianthus annuus (common sunflower) is the source of this 239-nucleotide long non-coding RNA. RefSeq lists it as uncharacterized. The transcript has 3 exons. The record is from RefSeq and is a predicted model, not a curated record. NCBI's taxonomy places the organism in Eukaryota, Viridiplantae, Streptophyta, Magnoliopsida, Asterales, Asteraceae.
AUAGUUAUCUAAUUUUCUCUACUUCAUUUUCAUGUAGGUGAGGGUUGAUCAUGUGGCUAUUGCUUUGUCGAGGGCUUACAAAUCACCAAUAGUUGACACUAUACAAUCCCUUCCACAACAUCAACAGAUUGUACUAUGUUCUGUUGUGAAGCUGUUUCGUAAAGGAAAGAAGGAUACAACAAUAGGAGAGUUGAACAAGUUUUAUAUCGAUAUCUGCAAAUCAACAUUGAUACCACCUG